UCCUGGUUAGCUCAUUUGGUUCAGCGUACUAUUGGAAAUGGAGAGGUCCCUGGUUCGACACCAGGACCUGGCG
Molecule: transfer RNA, 73 nt
Filed under: Ixodes scapularis (black-legged tick)
Lineage: Eukaryota; Metazoa; Arthropoda; Arachnida; Ixodida; Ixodidae
Description: tRNA-Ser for anticodon GGA
Source: RNAcentral